This 290-nucleotide ribosomal RNA is filed under the name Desulforamulus aquiferis. RNAcentral's name for it is "partial 23S ribosomal RNA". It matches the Rfam family "Bacterial large subunit ribosomal RNA", at positions 1773 to 2060 of the family's 2925-position model. Lineage: Bacteria; Bacillati; Bacillota; Clostridia; Eubacteriales; Peptococcaceae. The record is from RNAcentral.
GAGGCCGCAGAGAAAAGGCCCAAGCGACUGUUUACCAAAAACACAGGUCCCUGCUAAAGCGAAAGCUGACGUAUAGGGGCUGACGCCUGCCCGGUGCUGGAAGGUUAAGGGGAAGUGUUAGACGCAAGUCGAAGCAGAGAACUGAAGCCCCAGUAAACGGCGGCCGUAACUAUAACGGUCCUAAGGUAGCGAAAUUCCUUGUCAGGUAAGUUCUGACCCGCACGAAAGGCGUAACGAUUUGGGCACUGUCUCAACGAGGGGCUCGGUGAAAUUGUAAUGACGGUGAAGAU